Molecule: ribosomal RNA, 462 nt
Filed under: uncultured bacterium
Lineage: Bacteria
Description: partial 16S ribosomal RNA
Rfam family: Bacterial small subunit ribosomal RNA
Source: RNAcentral
GACGAACGCUGGCGGCGUGCUUAACACAUGCAAGUCGAACGGAAAGGCCCUUCGGGGUCCUCGAGUGGCGAACGGGUGAGUAACACGUGGGUGAUCUGCCCUGCACUUUGGGAUAAGCCUGGGAAACUGGGUCUAAUACCGAAUAUGAUCAUCGGCUUCAUGGUCGGUGGUGGAAAGCUUUUGCGGUGUGGGAUGGGCCCGCGGCCUAUCAGCUUGUUGGUGGGGUAAUGGCCUACCAAGGCGACGACGGGUAGCCGGCCUGAGAGGGUGACCGGCCACACUGGGACUGAGAUACGGCCCAGACUCCUACGGGAGGCAGCAGUGGGGAAUAUUGCACAAUGGGCGCAAGCCUGAUGCAGCGACGCCGCGUGAGGGAUGACGGCCUUCGGGUUGUAAACCUCUUUCAGCACAGACGAAGCGCAAGUGACGGUAUGUGCAGAAGAAGGACCGGCAAACUACGUG